This 500-nucleotide ribosomal RNA is filed under the name uncultured bacterium. RNAcentral describes it as "partial 16S ribosomal RNA". It matches the Rfam family "Bacterial small subunit ribosomal RNA", at positions 30 to 523 of the family's 1533-position model. The record is from RNAcentral.
AUUGAACGCUGGCGGAAUGCUUUACACAUGCAAGUCGAACGGCAGCACGGACUUCGGCCUGGUGGCGAGUGGCGAACGGGUGAGUAAUACAUCGGAACGUGCCCAGUCGUGGGGGACAACGUAGCGAAAGCUACGCUAAUACCGCAUACGAUCUAAGGAUGAAAGCGGGGGAUCGCAAGACCUCGCGCGAUUGGAGCGGCCGAUGGCAGAUUAGGUAGUUGGUAGGGUAAAGGCCUACCAAGCCGACGAUCUGUAGCUGGUCUGAGAGGAUGAUCAGCCACACUGGGACUGAGACACGGCCCAGACUCCUACGGGAGGCAGCAGUGGGGAAUUUUGGACAAUGGGCGCAAGCCUGAUCCAGCCAUUCCGCGUGCAGGAUGAAGGCCUUCGGGUUGUAAACUGCUUUUGUACAGAACGAAAAGGUUUGGGUUAAUACCCUGGGCCGAUGACGGUACCGUAAGAAUAAGCACCGGCUAACUACGUGCCAGCAGCCGCCGUAA